This 225-nucleotide unclassified non-coding RNA is filed under the name uncultured fungus. RNAcentral describes it as "partial contains 5.8S ribosomal RNA, internal transcribed spacer 2, and large subunit ribosomal RNA". Lineage: Eukaryota; Fungi. The record is from RNAcentral.
AACGCAACUUGCGCCUCUUACGAGGCAUGUUUGUUUGAGUGCCGUAAUCCUCUGCAGCAAUGCGAUCUGACUCUUGUCUUUGUUGACCGAGUUUAAAGGGAGCUAGAGGAUGGUCAGUUUAGACUAGCCCGAGUGCUAAGCAUUCUUGGGUCUAGCGCUGGAUUGCUCAUUUCAUCUAUUUUUUAAUUUGGCCUCAAAUCAAGCAAGACUACCCGCUGAACUUAA